This 189-nucleotide ribosomal RNA is filed under the name uncultured bacterium. RNAcentral's name for it is "partial 16S ribosomal RNA". It matches the Rfam family "Bacterial small subunit ribosomal RNA", at positions 338 to 524 of the family's 1533-position model. The record is from RNAcentral.
CCUACGGGAGGCAGCAGUGAGGAAUAUUGGUCAAUGGGCGAGAGCCUGAACCAGCCAAGUAGCGUGCAGGACGACUGCCCUAUGGGUUGUAAACUGCUUUUAUAGGGGAAUAAAGUGAGGAACGUGUUCCUUUUUGUAUGUACCCUAUGAAUAAGGACCGGCUAAUUCCGUGCCAGCAGCCGCGGUAAU